AAACAUGAGAGUUUGAUCCUGGCUCAGGAUGAAUGCUGGCGGCGUGCCUAAUACAUGCAAGUCGAGCGGUAAGGCCCUUCGGGGUACACGAGCGGCGGACGGCUGAGGAACACGUGGGAACGCACCCCAAAGUGAGGGAUAAGCACUCGAAAGAGUGUCUAAUACCGCAUAUGAUCUACGGAUUAAAGCUUCGGCGCUUUGGGAGCGGCCUGCGUCUGAUUAGAUAGUUGGUGAGGUAAUGGCUCACCAAGUCAACGAUCAGUAACUGGUUCGAGAGGACGAACAGUCAGACUGGAACUGAGACACGGUCCAGACUCCUACGGGAGGCAGCAGUAGGGAAUCUUUCACAAUGGGCGAAAGCCUGAUGGAGCAACGCCGCGAGCGGGAUGAAGGUCUUCGGAUCGUAAACCGCUUUUAUCAACGAAAAAUAUGAUUGUAAUUGAUGAAUAAGGGUCGGCUAACUACGUGCCAGCAGCCGCGGUCAUACGUAGGACCCAAGCAUUAUUCGGAGUGACUGGGCGUAAAGAGUUGCGUAGGUGGUUUGUUAAGUAGUAAAUUAAAGCUGGUGGCUCAACCAUUCAGUUGUUUACUAAACUGGCAGACUCGAGAGCGUCAGGGGUAGCUGGAAUUACUAGUGUAGGAGUGAAAUCCGUAGAUAUUAGUAGGAACACCAACAGCGUAGGCAGGCUACUGGGGCGUUUCUGACACUAAGGCACGAAAGCGUGGGGAGCAAACGGGAUUAGAUACCCCGGUAGUCCACGCUGUAAACGAUGGAUACUAGCCGUUGGAGGUAUUGACCCCUUCAGUGGCGUAGCUAACGCGUUAAGUAUCCCGCCUGUGUAGUACGAUCGCAAGAUUAAAACAUAAAGGAAUUGACGGGGACCCGCACAAGCGGUGGAUUAUGUUCUUUAAUUCGAUGCUAACCGAUAAACCUUACCAGGGCUUGACAUCUAGGGAAGGACUACGAAAGUAGUUUGUGCCUUUUUGGAACCCUAAGACAGGUGAUGCAUGGCCGUCGUCAGCUCGUGUCGUGAGAUGUUAGGUUAAGUCCUUCAACGAGCGCAACCCUUGUGAAUAGUUGUAUUUUUCUAUUCAAACUGCCCCGGUAACGGGGAGGAAGGAGGGGAUGAUGUCAGGUCAGUAUUUCCCUUACGUCCUGGGCUAGAAACGUAAUACAAUGGCAAGCAACAAUGCGUGGCGAAGUCGUGAGAUGAAGCUAACCGCACAAAACUUGUCCCAGUCCGGAUUGGAGGCUGAAACUCGCCUCCAUGAAGUCGGAAUCGCUAGUAAUCGCAGAUCAGCAAGCUGCGGUGAAUACGUUCCCGGGUCUUGUACACACCGCCCGUCAAACCAUGAGAGUCAGGGGCACCCGAAGUCCGCUUAGGCGGCCUAAGGUGAACCGGAUGAUUGGGGUUAAGUCGUAACAAGGCAUCCGUACCGGAAGGUGUGGAUGGAUUACCUCCUUU
RNAcentral lists this ribosomal RNA (1466 nucleotides) under Candidatus Nomurabacteria bacterium. Its description in RNAcentral is "bacterial SSU rRNA". It matches the Rfam family "Bacterial small subunit ribosomal RNA". The record is from RNAcentral. Lineage: Bacteria; Candidatus Nomuraibacteriota.